CAUCUUUGUGGAGUUGCAAAGUGAUACUGUACCACCAUGCUGCCGGUCCAUGUGAGGGUGCAUCCUCUAGAUUCUGGAGGGAAAAAACCCUUGCAUAAUUUCCCUACAGAUUAAGUAGCAUACCCUUUACAUCAACAAAAAAGUAGUCAUCUGCUCACUUUUUGUUGAACAAUCUUCCUUCAUAAUUUGUAUGUGUAUCUGUCUUUUGGGACAUCUAGGGCCCUUGGCUUGGCCCCUUCCCUUUCUGUGAGAUACUACAGUGCGUUUGCUGGCUCUGGCUGCUGCCUGGUCAGGGAAGUUGAAUGGCAGAAAAGAAACCUAUACCAGGGCUUUUACUCAGAUAACAUAAAAUGAGACGUAUCGUAGAACUUCAAUGUGUACUUCACAAGUGAAGGCGGGAGGCUGGUUUCAUGUACUUCCUGUGCUGCCAAAGACAUAUCUCAUUCCCCUGAAACCAAAGUCUAGGAAAGUUAAAAGUUGGAUUUGCAAUCACAAGCCACCAUAUAGUCGGUAGCUGCUGUGAUAUCUGUUAGUAAUGAAACCCUUAGGGUCUUUGCCAGGUUAUCCUUGGGGAAUCUAGAAAUUCUUGGAACAAUUUCUAGAGAUUCUUGCAAGCAAACAAAAAUCUGCUACCUGCGGCCUUAGGACCGGUUCUACUAAGUUCUGCACUCAAGUUGAAUGGCAGAGAGGCAAGAAACCAGUUCACUAGAUUUCUGAUGGAACAAUUCUUUUUCAAGGUUGAAACUUUUUAAUUGGCAAGGAAACAUUGAAUCUACCCAUCCCUCCAUCCAACAACUAUUUAUUGAGAACAUAUCGUGUCUUUUGGCUCAAGAGGAGGGGUUUAAACAAAAGUGACAAUCUCACCUUUCCACCCAAAAUACCGAGGAAGAACAGUAUAUCCUUUGAAACCAUGAACAGGGGCCAGAGAGCGGGGACUAUCUUUGAUGCAUUGAAACUGGGAGAAAUCUCUGGAACAUGGAAAGUCGAUGGAGUGAGUUUUCUGAAGGAAGUAUUACUGUGGAUACUGCUGCAGAAGCGGCCUGUGAAAAAUGUGCCUGGGCUCCUAAGUGACAGAUGUGGGCUGGAAGGGUGUGCAAAGGUCACAACGGGGUGAGAGGCUGUGGCUGCCCGGAUGACCAGACAGUCAAGGUGAUUGCGCCAUAACCGCAUUUUACCUGGACUUCUCAGACGUUUGUGAUGCAGGGUCCAAGUGGAGCUCUUCAGUCUACACAAACCAAGAGACAGACACCUCUGCUGCCUCACUCUACCAAUGACAGAUACCUUCCCUGUGUUGGACAGAAGGAAGUGAAACCUGAUCAGAGUACAUACAGCAAUUUUCUCCUAGUUGCCAGGCUCACAGAAACUUUCCCAUACACAAAUGAACAUUAUGUUAUACUGAUGUCAACAGAGAGUUCACAGCAAAGGAAAGGCGAUGUGUAAGCAGAAUGGAACUUGGAAAUUAACCUGGCCAGCAGAUACACAAGGAGGCCUUGGGAACUAAAUUGCUCAACAUUUAAAACCAACAGAUGGGUUCAGAUUGCAGAGUGAACAGAACUGAAGAGAAAAGUGGUGAAGCCGGAAUGGGAGUCCUCUUGCACUUACGGGACCUAAAGAGAUGAGAUGGAGACUUGGCACGUUAAGGGCUGGGAUGGGAAGUGUGUCUGGAGUUUUAGAGGAUGGGGUGGGGUGAAGAAACAAAGACGGGAGCAGCAGACAUGAAACAAGAUAAAACCCAAGCAUUGAAUCGCAUGACCAACUGCGAUGGUCAUGGGUCAGAAUGCUUGAGAAAAUAUCCAUGACCAAAUGAACACAUCAUGGUACUAAGACAACACGAGGGGAGGGGGUGGGACAGGAUAAUUGAGAAGAGCAUGCAAACAGGAAGAAGCACAAUAAGCGUGAGAACACCUCUCACUGACAGUAUGCAUGUAAAAGAGCAACGGGACCACCUGUGGAGGUAGGAAAGACACUGGGCCUGGUGCUAUGUAUGUAUCCAUCAAAAUGAUCAAAUGUGUGGCUGAAAAGUUAUUUUGGUCAUCAUGGGUUCAGAGCUCAUCAUUUCCUGGCUUACACACACACACACACACACACACACACACACACACACACACACCACUAAAGGUCAUUAUUUAAAAAGCAAAACCAUGGAAAGAGAAGUCAAGAAAACGCUCUGUUGUAUACACCUGUGCUUUACAGACAGCAAAGGAAGGCAAGCCCCUGUACCUUCACCAGCAGAGUGGUGGCUGAGGAGGCCUGCAGGGAGUUCUCUUAGAGACUGAGGGCUAGGCUGCUGCAGUGUUUAUAAAAGGUCUCUUAGUCUCGAGUGGUCUUGCAGGUGGACUGUAUGUAUGAAAGCAUAGAGUAGACUUGUUUCUUUUGCACCCUGGGGCAUUAUGGCUACCUGGGAGAAGGAGGAUUAGAGAGAGCUCCCUGGUUAAGAUGGCAUACUGCUCUUGCAGAGGACCUCAGUUCAGUUCAGUUCCCAGUACCCACAUCAGAUGGGUUUACAGUGUCUGAAACUCCAGCUCCAGGGGAUCUCAUGUUCUCUUUGGCUCCCAAGAGCAAGUGCACUCAUGAACACACACACACACACACACACACACACACACACACACACACACAAUUAAAAUUUAAAAAAUCUGGGGAAAAAAGUAUGGCUGCCUAUUUGGAAUUGUCACCCCUUCCCUGAUUAAAUGUUUACUGUCCCUUCAAUUCACUUAGGGGCACCUAGAAGUGAGACUGGAAUAUUUGUCUUUCCCCAGACAUAAGUUGUAGCUUGCAACAAAUAUAUUUCAAUGAUUUUUCUUAUUAGAAGAAGCACAGAGACGGACUUGACUGGUAAGGACCAUAGAUUCAUACCCUAUUGAAGAGAGAGAGGCAUGGAUUGGGCAUCUUAAGGAACCCAGUGGCUUGGCAUCCCAGGCAUGGUCAGCCUGCUGGAUGGAGGAGGAAGGCUAGUCAGAAAGAGGCCUUGGCAGACUUGGAGGUUAUUUUGGGAGGCUAUAGCUUCUGGACGACCAGGGCUGAUCCACAGCAUGCCCCUCUGGCAGCCUUCCUGGGCAGGGCUUGGAAAGGAGGGUGGUUUAGCUGCAUGUCCAGCUGCUAAGGUACCAGCAAGGGUACAGUCAGUCAUCUUGGAUGCUGUGGGAAACUUAUCCACAGAGCAGGAUUCAGAAACAAUUAAAUUUUUUAUUAAAAUAAUUCUUCACCUUCAUUUUUUUUUGUCCUCUGCCUACUGUUGUGUUUGGGAAAGCCAAGUGGGGCUAUGUUUCCUUCUUGAGUUUGUGAUUCCCUGGUGGUUUCUGCAGUUCAUAGCUGGUCCCGGUUCUUGCUUAACAGAUUCCCAUUUUAUCCUUUUUCAUCUCGCCAUUUGCUCCUCAUUGUCCCCACCUCUCCAGACCUGCGGGAGAGCAGGCACUGUGCUCAUGUGAUUGUGUUCCAAGUUGUACCAUGAACCUGGCCAACAUUUUUCAGUCCUUUUAUUGUAAUCAUGGGAGUACACUGUGGAAGGAGGCCCUCAGAGUCAUGAUGUCUUGGCUCCUGGCUCCAGGCAGAAUCAAAUUGAAAGCAAUUUCCUCAGCUAAUCAUUUUUGCUUUUUUGCUUUUUAAAUACUGCUAAGGAAACAGUUGCUGCAGUGCCCGCCAGGAAAGCUUGCCUGCAUUUCUUGCUAUUAAUCAAGAAAUGGCAUGCCUCCCCUGAAGACCCACUAUGACUUAGGACAGGACCAGUAUCAGGGUUUUCCCAUCCAUCCGAGAGCUCUGAUGGCAUGCACAUAGUCUCCCGCCAUCUUUGCCCUCUUGGUUCUUGAAGCUGUUAUAGAGUGUUUUUUUUUUUGGUUACACAUUAAUGUCAAAUUCAGUCCUCAGAUGUUUUAGCCAUGCUUCAUGUGCCUUAUCCCCAUUGCAAAGCCUCUGAACACAACUAGAAGAAACUAUGGGAGGUCCAUGGUAGUGGUUGAGGCUUGUAAAGUGGAGUUGGAAGAUGAAGGGAGCUUUUACAUAACUCUACCUACCUUUUAGGAUGGAUACCCAGAAGUACCAGUCUCCAAAUGCAUGUCCCCAACACAUCCUUUCCAAUGUACGUGGGUGAUGGUCCAAUUCCAGAGGGUGCAGCUCUUCAAGCCUGGCUUGACAGCAAGACAGAUGAUUUCUACUGGUAUUUAAUUUUUUUCCCCAAAAUAAAAAAGGUUGAAGACAGGUAUGGCUGGUAUUCCUGAGACCCAAAUACUUGAGUCCCAGCUUCCUAAACACUGCCUCCUUCUUCCCCUUGCCUGCCUAGAGAGCUAGGAACAGUGUCUGUACUCUGAACAUCAACCAUACGACUGAUAAUAAAAUCAGCAAAGAUAUGAACAUGACCCACACAUUUGGCUUGCCCAAACACCUCUAAAUGUUGAGGAAGACUUGCAACUUGAAAAUAUAGAGGACCUUAAGGACAGACCCAGACUGUAGCUGCCACCAGGUCCAGUUUCCCAGGUGUCUUUCUGUCUUCACUGACCUGCUAUGUUGGAGUCUUCAGCAACAUGCAGUACAACUGGGCCUAGAAUUUGACAUUCUUCUGACUCUGUAUUGUAAUUUUUUUUUCUUCUUAUAACUUCAUGCUUUUCCUGAAUUCAUCCACCAGGCCACAACUCAGUUGUUGGCUAAAGAAUUAGAAUUAUAGAACUACAAUUAUAUAUCAGUAUAAAAUGAUUUUAUGGGUUUGGGGUCACCCGGGAGCACCUCUGGAACCACUCCAUGGUCAUGGUUGCAGCACCCUGUGUCUGAUGCUUGACCCUCCACCAUUAGAGAUUCAUUCUUUUGUGGAGGCUGGUGUCUUCAUUGGAUGCAGACCCGUCAACAGCAAAUGGGAACAGCUCACAAAUGGGAAGGAUUGUUCCCCCAAGAGUCACGCAACCUUGGUGAUGAUGAGACAGAGGAGAAGCCAUGACGGGGAUGUUGGAAAUUGUAAUGAGGAUAGUUUUGGGACUUAAGAGAUGGUCCCCUUUCUGUUACAGAUAUUCCAUAAAUGCUGUCACCUGCCAAGCUGGAUGUAGAAUACAAAAUAUAACCCAGGUACACUGGUGGGAAAUACCCUGCACAAGACCUGAGCAAGCCAGAAACCCAGAGGGAAAGGACUGGGCACAUGCACAAGCCGCCAGAGGAGGCCCCAGGGCUCUAGCUCCUGCAUGACUGAGUCUGAGAUCUGGUGAGAACCAGGCCUCCCAAUCCUCAACCUGAGGCUUCUUUCUCCAAGAAUUGUCCUGUAUGAUCACAUAGUAGUUACUUUUCUCAUGGCUGUGACAAAACACUUGACAAAGUGAGCUAAAGGAAGGGCUUUGAGGAGGAUGUGGUCAUCAUGGGGACGAGGAUGGGGCAGGAGGGAGCGUCAGGCGGUGGGUCACAUCGCCUCCACGCUCGGGAGAGAGUCGUGGAUGCCAGUGCUUUAGUUGGUUUCCUCCUUUGUCUUUGUCCAUUCAGUCUGGGGCCCCAGCCAGUAGAUGGUGAUACUCACAUUCAGGGUAGGACUUCUUGUAAGCCUCCCUAAAAACAGCCUCACAGACACACCCGGAGGUGGGUCUCUUGGGUGACUCCAAAUGUAGUCAAGUUGACAACCUAGAUGAACCAUUAAAGGCGCUUUUGUGUGGGGCUGAAAGAGGAAGGAGUUUGUAUUGGUAUUAGAAGACAGGAGAGAGAGAGAGAGAGAGAGAGAGAGAGAGAGAGAGAGAGAGAGAGAGAGAGAGAGGAGAGAGGAGAGAGGAGAGAGAGAGAAGCAGAAGCCACAAUGUGCUCUGUCUUCUGGACAUUAGGAUGGCUUUGGGGCAGAAACAGGAUGAAAUGGGUGUUUCUGCAAGAGACUUACUGAGACUCUGAACACAGGGGUGGGUGCUGGUGGCUCACAACCCACCCACAUUUCUGCACAGCAUUCAGAAGCCCUGGGUACAGCCCUCCCUAUUCUCAUGGGGGACACUGUCAAUGCAGAUGGCAGCAAGGCAGCUUAAGGUUAUCAGAAGAUGACCCAGGGGAGCUCCAGUGAAGGCUUAUUGUGAAUAUGCAUGAUGUGGGUCUCCUAGAAAUCUCCGGGAGGACUUGCAGGCAUCCCAUCAGAAGAGGAAUCUAGGGAGGACCCCAGGGCAUUGCUACUUAGUGUGAUAUAGGCAUAGUCUCCUAGUGACAUCAUCAGAUCACUACCUGAAAUACUGUACAAAAACCACCCACAGGCUCAUUGGUCCACUCACUUGACAUCUCACACACCCAAAUGCAGGCUGUGAUUCUACAGGUGUGGCAAGAUUGAGAAAGGGGAGAGGCAAGAGUGGUUUCAAGGACCCACUACACAAUCAAGAGAAGGAAGAGAAAAGGCUCCUCUUUGUCCUGAUUGAUGUGAGACUAAAGGAGAAAUAAGGGAGGGGGCAAGAUUUGAACUCAGAGUCUUUCAGUGGGAAACUGUGACUUGAAUGGUCCAAGGCGUGGUUCAUGGACCAGGAAGAAAAGUUCAGAUACUGAGUUUAGUGAAUCUCAGUAUAGCAUAAGAUAGCCUGCAAGGGCUGAUAUUAGAUUAGUGAAGAGGGGACAGAGGAGAAGAAUGUGGGGCAGGGGAGGAAAAGAAGAGGGAGAUGAGAGAAGAAAUAAGGAAAACAACAGAUCAUCUUUGCAUGCAAUUUGUCCUGACGUCACCACCCUCAGUUCUUCCACCACCCUCUUGCCCAUGUGCUGGAUCCUGUCUUCCUUCCUGGGCAAGCUCCAUUUUCAAGAUCCACUAGCUAAGUUCUGGUGUCAUGGAAUGGGCAUUGUAUAAGCUGAACUUUUCCAGCAGUUAAAAAACAGUGUCUUCCAUACCUGCAAAGAUAUUAUGCAACCCGAGCGACACCCUUGAGAGAACUUCCUAAGCAGAUGUGACAGACAGCGCUGAGGGCGGGAAUAUAGGUUGAGAGGUGUCAGUUGGGUGCCGUUGCGCUUGUCUAUAGCCAUUCCCAAGUUGACAGGUCCUCUGGCCUCGGGGGUGGCGUGUACUCUUUGCACUUGUCCCUGUACCCAAGAGUCCAAGAGCAGAUUCAGUUUUGCUGAUCUGUCCCCCCAGCUGUGUGCUGUGUGUUACCACUCUCAUUUAUUAGGGGUUACAGUGAGCUUGUUUGGGGUUAUGUGCUUCCUAGCAGCCCCAGACAGUAAGCUUUACCGGUCCUCUGCUCCCUUUUGCAGACAAGCAUGGGGUUACUUCGGGAUGUUAAGUGAUGUGUCCAAGGUCACAGAGCCCCAAAUUUAAGACCAAAGAGGGUCUGUGACCCUCUACUGGUGGUGUCAAAGAAAACAAGGUCAUGUGAAAUUCAGUCGCUGAAUUUGUGACCUGGUCCUUUAGCUCAAGCCUCUCAGCUUUUCUCAGUCAUCUGCCCUUGACAUACACAAUAAGGGUUGGCAUUGGAAGUUGAGGCUGCCAAGAGCAUCUGGUGGGGCAGUGAUUGGGCGCAUACAUCACAGAGUCCUAUUGUGCACACCUCACACUAAGGACAUUAGGUACUCUCUUUCUUUAUGACACCCCGGAAGGAAGAAUCUGAGCCACAAAAAACAGAUCUACCUGAAAAACAUCCACCCCAGGAGAAGAUAGUCCUUGACCAUGGCGAGCCACAGCUGCAUUCGGAUCACACGGACACUGAUCACAGAAGGUCUUGGAGACACUGAAACCGUUCCUGUUAUCCAGCGUUCGGGAGCACUCCGGCCACUGGAAAGAUGGUCACUGAGAAGCACCACUGGUUUCAGUGACUCUGCUGGAUUUUCUUAACACUGAAAGGCUCAUGCUAUGGCACACCUUUCUGACAGGACUGUGACUUCGCUGUCGUAGAUCUGCCUCAAGACCCUGAUCUCAAUUUUAGAUGCAACGGAUGUUUUUGCACAUGACAUCAGGGCAGAUGAGGGAAGGAAGGUGGAGUUUUUGUCUUACGAGGAUUCAGGCUAUACCUCUAGAUAACAAUUUGGUUAACAUUUGACAAUAUAUACUAAGACAAUACUACUUUUGGGAACCCAUCACAUGGAAAUAAAGGCUCUCAUUCACAAGGUAUGUGUAAAAGAACAUUUACUAUAAGUUUCUCAGAGUGACAGGAAACUGAGAACAACUUGAAAGUCUCUUAAUAAAGGGUUGCUUUUUUUU
Long non-coding RNA from Peromyscus leucopus (white-footed mouse), 8113 nucleotides. RefSeq lists it as uncharacterized. The transcript has 2 exons. The record is from RefSeq and is a predicted model, not a curated record. Lineage: Eukaryota; Metazoa; Chordata; Mammalia; Rodentia; Cricetidae.